CCCGCAGACCGCCUUAUCGUCGUUCGCUUUAUGCGGAGGGAGGAAAGUCCGGACACCACAGGGAAGCAUAGCGGGUAACGCCCGUCAUCGUGAGCAAUCAGGGUAGGACAAGUGCAACAGAAAGUAUGUACAGGUAAUGCUGUAGUGAAACCAGGUAAACUCUAUGCGGUGAAAUAUCAAGUAAAUCAGCAUUUAAGGGCGUCUCGUUCGUUGCUGAAGGGUAGAUAGCUUGAGCUUAUGAGUAAUUGUAAGUCUAGAUAAAUGAUAAGGUAUUGUUAGCAAUAACAAGAACAGAAUCCGGCUUACAGGUCUGCAUUUUUU
RNAcentral lists this RNase P RNA (321 nucleotides) under Flavobacterium restrictum. RNAcentral describes it as "Bacterial RNase P class A". It matches the Rfam family "Bacterial RNase P class A". Rfam says of the family: Ribonuclease P (RNase P) is a ubiquitous endoribonuclease, found in archaea, bacteria and eukarya as well as chloroplasts and mitochondria. Its best characterised activity is the generation of mature 5'-ends of tRNAs by cleaving the 5'-leader elements of precursor-tRNAs. Lineage: Bacteria; Pseudomonadati; Bacteroidota; Flavobacteriia; Flavobacteriales; Flavobacteriaceae. The record is from Rfam by way of RNAcentral.